CCCUUAGAUGUCCUGGGCCGCACGCGCGCUACACUGAUGCAUUCAACGAGUUUUACCUUGGCCGAGAGGCCUGGGCAAUCUUUUAAACCUGCAUCGUGAUAGGGAUAGAUUAUUGCAAUUAUUAAUCUUGAACGAGGAAUUCCUAGUAAACGCAAAUCAUCAAUUUGCAUUGAUUACGUCCCUGCCCUUUGUACACACCGCCCGUCGCACCUACCGAUUGAAUGAUCCGGUGAAGCCUCGGGAUUGUGGCCAGUUCACUUUAUUGGGAGUUGGCUGUGAGAACUUGUCUAAACCUUAUCAUUUAGAGGAAGGUGAAGUCGUAACA
Molecule: ribosomal RNA, 325 nt
Filed under: uncultured eukaryote
Lineage: Eukaryota
Description: partial 18S ribosomal RNA
Rfam family: Eukaryotic small subunit ribosomal RNA
Source: RNAcentral